Molecule: ribosomal RNA, 405 nt
Filed under: uncultured bacterium
Lineage: Bacteria
Description: bacterial SSU rRNA
Rfam family: Bacterial small subunit ribosomal RNA
Source: RNAcentral
UAGGGAAUUUUCCACAAUGGGCGAAAGCCUGAUGGAGCAACGCCGCGUGCAGGAUGAAUGCCUUCGGGUUGUAAACUGCUUUUAUCUGUGACGAAUAUGACGGUAGCAGAUGAAUAAGGAUCGGCUAACUCCGUGCCAGCAGCCGCGGUCAUACGGAGGAUCCAAGCGUUAUCCGGAAUUACUGGGCGUAAAGAGUUGCGUAGGUGGCAGAGUGUGUCUGUAGUGAAAGCGUGUGGCUCAACCAUAUAUACAUUACAGAAACUGCUCGGCUAGAGGGCGAGAGAGGUAACUAGAAUUCCUAGUGUAGGAGUGAAAUCCGUAGAUAUUAGGAGGAAUACCGAUGGCGUAGGCAGGUUACUGGCUCGUCCCUGACACUAAGGCACGAAAGCGUGGGGAGCAAACGGG